GACGAACGCUGGCGGCGUGCCUAAUACAUGCAAGUUGAGCGCUUAAGGUUGGUACUUGUACCAAAUGGAUGAGCAGCGAACGGGUGAGUAACGCGUGGGGAAUCUGCCUUUGAGCGGGGGACAACAUUUGGAAACGAAUGCUAAUACCGCAUAAAAACUUUAAACACAAGUUUUAAGUUUGAAAGAUGCAAUUGCAUCACUCAAAGAUGAUCCCGCGUUGUAUUAGCUAGUCGGUGAGGUAAAGGCUCACCAAGGCGAUGAUACAUAGCCGACCUGAGAGGGUGAUCGGCCACAUUGGGACUGAGACACGGCCCAAACUCCUACGGGAGGCAGCAGUAGGGAAUCUUCGGCAAUGGACGAAAGUCUGACCGAGCAACGCCGCGUGAGUGAAGAAGGUUUUCGGAUCGUAAAACUCUGUUGGUAGAGAAGAACGUUGGUGAGAGUGGAAAGCUCAUCAAGUGACGGUAACUACCCAGAAAGGGACGGCUAACUACGUG
RNAcentral lists this ribosomal RNA (497 nucleotides) under uncultured bacterium. RNAcentral's name for it is "partial 16S ribosomal RNA". It matches the Rfam family "Bacterial small subunit ribosomal RNA", at positions 28 to 507 of the family's 1533-position model. The record is from RNAcentral.